GACACGGCCCAGACUCCUACGGGAGGCAGCAGUAGGGAAUCUUCCGCAAUGGACGAAAGUCUGACGGAGCAACGCCGCGUGAGUGAUGAAGGUUUUCGGAUCGUAAAGCUCUGUUGUUAGGGAAGAACAAGUACCGUUCGAAUAGGGCGGUACCUUGACGGUACCUAACCAGAAAGCCACGGCUAGCUACGUGCCAGCAGCCGCGGUAAUACGUAGGUGGCAAGCGUUGUCCGGAAUUAUUGGGCGUAAAGGGCUCGCAGGCGGCUUCUUAAGUCUGAUGUGAAAGCCCCCGGCUCAACCGGGGAGGGUCAUUGGAAACUGGGGAACUUGAGUGCAGAAGAGGAGAGUGGAAUUCCACGUGUAGCGGUGAAAUGCGUAGAGAUGUGGAGGAACACCAGUGGCGAAGGCGACUCUCUGGUCUGUAACUGACGCUGAGGAGCGAAAGCGUGGGGAGCGAACAGGAUUAGAUACCCUGGUAGUCCACGCCGUAAACGAUGAGUGCUAAGUGUUAGGGGGUUUCCGCCCCUUAGUGCUGCAGCUAACGCAUUAAGCACUCCGCCUGGGGAGUACGGUCGCAAGACUGAAACUCAAAGGAAUUGACGGGGGCCCGCACAAGCGGUGGAGCAUGUGGUUUAAUUCGAAACAACGCGAAGAACCUUACCAGGUCUUGACAUCCUCUGACAAUCCUAGAGAUAGGACGUCCCCUUCGGGGGCAGAGUGACAGGUGGUGCAUGGUUGUCGUCAGCUCGUGUCGUGAGAUGUUGGGUUAAGUCCCGCAACGAGCGCAACCCUUGAUCUUAGUUGCCAGCAUUCAGUUGGGCACUCUAAGGUGACUGCCGGUGACAAACCGGAGGAAGGUGGGGAUGACGUCAAAUCAUCAUGCCCCUUAUGACCUGGGCUACACACGUGCUACAAUGGACAGAACAAAGGGCAGCGAAACCGCGAGGUUAAGCCAAUCCCACAAAUCUGUUCUCAGUUCGGAUCGCAGUCUGCAACUCGACUGCGUGAAGCUGGAAUCGCUAGUAAUCGCGGAUCAGCAUGCCGCGGUGAAUACGUUCCCGGGCCUUGUACACACCGCCCGUCACACCACGAGAGUUUGUAACACCCGAAGUCGGUGAGGUAACCUUUUAGGAGCCAGCCGCCGAAGGUGGGACAGAUGAUUGGGGUGAAGUCGUAACAAGGUAGCCGUAUCGGAAGGUGCGGCUG
RNAcentral lists this ribosomal RNA (1206 nucleotides) under metagenome. RNAcentral's name for it is "bacterial SSU rRNA". It matches the Rfam family "Bacterial small subunit ribosomal RNA", at positions 323 to 1520 of the family's 1533-position model. The record is from RNAcentral.